This 6131-nucleotide unclassified non-coding RNA is filed under the name Hevea brasiliensis (rubber tree). The record is from RNAcentral. Lineage: Eukaryota; Viridiplantae; Streptophyta; Magnoliopsida; Malpighiales; Euphorbiaceae.
GAAAAAUUCAAAAAAAAAGGCAAAGCCUCGUUUUGAUAGAGGGCGCCAAACAAAGUCCAAAAGGCGGCACAUACCGAUACCGCACAAAACAUCCCCUUGGCCGGCCAUGUGACUACCUCCUGACUCCAUUUCUCUCUCUAAGCGAAGCUAAACCCUUCCUUGUUUCUAUCUCUCUCCUCUCCUGUCCUCUCCUCUCCUUCAUGUUUUCCACUUCUAGUAGGACCCACCGGUCCUCGGCCAUCUCGCCGUUCCGCUCCCGCAAGUCGCCUGCCCAGCCGCUGCCGCUGGCGGCCUCGAAAUCCACUGGACGGCCGUCAACUCCUUCAUCAACGACGUCGUCUAGGCCUCCCUCAAGGAUUUCGGGCACUCCUGUUAGUUCAGGUCUAAGUCCGACGGCUCAGGCCCUCGACCAGCCCGAACCCAGCAAGGCUAAGGAAAAUGUGACGGUUACUGUUAGGUUCCGUCCUCUCAGUGCUAGGGAGAUUAAUAAAGGGGACGAGAUAGCGUGGUAUGCUGAUGGGGAGCAUACAGUGAGGAACGAGAACAAUCCUUCAAUUGCUUACGGUUUUGAUAGAGUGUUUGGUCCUGCUACAACAACUCGCCAUGUUUAUGAUGUUGCUGCACAGCAUGUUGUUAGCGGUGCCAUGCAAGGGAUCAAUGGUACUGUGUUUGCAUAUGGUGUCACUAGUAGUGGGAAGACUCAUACAAUGCAUGGAGAGCAAAAGUCACCUGGGAUUAUUCCAUUGGCAGUAAAAGAUGUGUUUGGAAUUAUACAGGAGACACCUGGACGGGAAUUUCUUCUUCGUGUUUCAUAUUUAGAAAUCUAUAAUGAGGUCAUCAAUGAUUUGCUUGAUCCAACAGGGCAAAACCUAAGAAUACGAGAGGAUGUGCAGGGAACCUAUGUUGAGGGAAUCAAAGAAGAAGUUGUUUUAUCACCUGCACAUGCUCUUUCCUUGAUAGCAUCUGGAGAAGGUAUAUGCUUUCUAAUACUUACAUAUAGAAAUACUUCUUGGGUACACUAGCUGCUGUUUUCACAUUCCCUGUUUCAUUUAACACACUUCAUUUACUAUGUUUCUUGAAGUAUGGCCUUGUGCAUUUGCUAUAUACAUGUUUGUAUCCAUGCACACAUUAUGUUUAAUCCCUGAAAUUCUUAGCUAUGGGACAUCAUUAUGCAUAUGUAUCAACCUGUCUUUUUAUAUUGUUCUAACCCCAAUACAGACAUUUCUUGUUUGAGCAUUUGUGUGCCUCUCAACAUUUUUGUUCUGAUAUUGUUGCAGAGCAUAGGCAUGUGGGUUCUAAUAAUUUCAAUCUUCUAAGCAGUCGUAGCCACACUAUAUUCACCUUGGUAUGUAUUUUUUAUUUUCAGAAUAUGAAGGUCUGAAAAAUCAUAGUUCUGUUUCUGACUUUCUGUAUGAAAAAGCCUGUACAAACUUGAGCUAAACCUUGUAAAGCUAGACAGAUGGGCCAUUUCUAUUAUCUAUUCCUGAGAGGUUUGAUUGACCAAUUGGCCCUUGUUUGUUGGCUUUUUAGUUUUUCAUAGCUUUUGUUUUUCUACACUAAAUAUAUUGUUGCAUUUUAGACUAUUGAAAGCAGUCCACGUGGAGAAAAUGAAGGGGAAGAAGAUGUAACCUUGUCUCAGUUGAACUUAAUUGACCUUGCAGGAUCUGAAAGUUCUAAAACUGAAACAACUGGAUUGCGGAGAAAAGAGGGUUCAUACAUAAACAAAAGCUUACUCACUCUUGGCACAGUGAUCUCUAAACUAACAGAUGGAAAAUCAACUCAUAUUCCAUACCGGGAUUCAAAACUCACACGUUUAUUGCAGUCAUCCCUCAGCGGUCAUGGGCGGAUCUCUCUUAUUUGCACCGUGACACCUGCCUCUAGCAAUAGUGAAGAGACACACAACACAUUGAAGUUUGCACACAGAAGCAAGCAUGUGGAAAUCAAGGCUUCUCAGAAUAAGAUUAUGGAUGAGAAGUCUCUCAUAAAAAAGUAUCAGAAGGAAAUUUCCUCCUUAAAGCAAGAACUUCAGCAAUUAAAGCGUGGGCUAAUGGAAAAUCCUUAUAUGGCUGCAUCUACCCAGGAGGAUUUGGUUAAUUUGAAGCUUCAGUUGGAAGCUGGUCAGGUCAAAUUACAGUCAAGAUUGGAAGAAGAGGAGCAAGCCAAGGCAGCUUUAAUGGGAAGAAUUCAACGGUUGACAAAACUUAUCUUGGUUUCCACCAAGAACUCAAUGCAAUCAAGCCUUCCAGAAAGGCCCAGUCACAGGCGAAGACAUUCUUUUGGGGAAGAUGAGUUAGCAUAUUUACCAGAUAGGAAACGAGAAUAUAUGACUGAAGAAGAUGCUGGAAGCUAUGCUUCUGAGCUUUCGGCUGACAAAGGGGAUGAUAUCACCAAUCUAGAUGAGUUGGUGAAUGAUUACAAAAGGAACAGGAGGCGGGGGAUGCUUGGCUGGUUUAAACCAAGAAAGCCCGAAAAUCUGGUUAGGUCAUCACCAAGUGCUGAUAGUGGGAGCUCUGCUGGUGGAUCACCUGCAUCUUGUUCUAAAUCAUCACAAAAUAAAGUCAUGUUUAGUGAUACAAAGGAUGGACGGAGAAUAUCAAUCAGUCGAAGAGGAGACGAUUCUGUGCUCAUUGACUCGUUUCCAGAAAGAAACCAAGCAGGUGACUUGUUUAGUGCCGCUGUUGGUGGUCACCAAUUGCCUCCGACUGGGACAACAAUCACGGAUCAAAUGGAUCUGCUUCGUGAGCAGGUGAAAAUGUUAGCUGGGGAGGUGGCAUUGUGUACUAGUUCUCUGAAAAGACUGUCAGAGCAAGCCAGUAGUAACCCUGAAGAUUGUCAACUGAAGGAUCAAAUGCAGAAGUUAAAAGAUGAAAUUACUGAAAAGAAGCUUCAGAUGCAUGUUCUGGAGCAACGCAUGAUUGGAUCAGUUGAGAUGACACCAAAUAAAUCAAGCAGCACUGGAUUGUCACAGGCUCUAUCCAAGCUCACUACGCAGCUAAAUGAAAAAAUUUUUGAACUUGAGAUUAAGUCUGCAGAUAACAGGGUACUUCAGGAGCAACUACAGAUGAAGAUAGCAGAAAAUACUGAGAUGCAAGAGACAAUUCUACUUCUGAGGCAGCAGCUUAAUUCAUUAUUGGGUAACAGUCAACCACCAAUUGCAGAAUCUGACACACUUAAAACUUGUUCUGAAGAGCUACCGAGGCAGAACCAAGGGGGGAAUAAUGAGAUUUGGCCAUGUGAAGAAAACUCUAUUGAUGAAAAUACGCCAAAAAGUGUCAUGAGCUUGAAUCGAAUAUUUUCCCAUGAUGACUCCAAAGAAUUCAAUGGCAAUUCUCCUUUGAGUUCUCAAGUUCUUAAGCAGGCUGCUGAGAUAGAGAAUCUGAAGCAAGAGAAGGUAAAGUUGUCUGAAGAAAAUGAUGGGCUUGAAAUUCGAAGUCAGAAACUGGCAGAGGAAGCUACAUAUGCAAAAGAACUGGCUGCAACUGCAGCAGUUGAGCUCCGGAGCUUGGCUGAAGAAGUAACCAAGCUUUCUUAUGAAAAUGCAAAGCUGACUGGUGAUCUGGCUGCUGCAAAGGAGGUGCAUUGCAGAUCUAAUUGUUGUCAGAGAUCUGUUUCAUAUGAUUCCAAACAGAAUUCAAGUAGUGCUCGAUCUGAUGGUCAUGCAAGAAGACAAGAAGAUGGUUUAUUUAUUGAGGAGUUACGAAAAAAACUAAAUACAACAUGCCAAAGAGAAUCGGCAUUGGAAGCUGUAGUAUCUGAGAAAGAUAAAAUAGAAAGUGAGCUACGGGAAAGACUUGGUGAAGCAAAACGGCGUGAAGAAGAUUUGGAAAAUGAGCUUGCCAAUAUGUGGGUGCUGAUUGCAAAGAUGAGAAUGUCCAGUUGCAAUGCUGAGGAUAUACCAUCUGAAGGGGCCCUUUCAUCUAACACUUCUCAAUCUGGACUUAAAAAUGGAUUUUUUCCAUCUAAUGGUCAUUCUAAUAGAAUAUCCAAAGAUGAAAUCUGUGAAAACAAGGAUGGGAUAAGCACAUUAGAUGAGUUAAAAAUCAGUUAUCAAAAAGAAAGAAGAAGAUGCAAGGAACUUGAAAGCCUUAUUUCAAGAUUAAAGGGUGAAGACAUUGGUGGUUUGGAUGUCAAAGCACUUGAGCAGCUACAGAAUUUUCAUAUUGAGGCUAUAACAAAAAUUUCUCAUGCAAAGUGUGCAAAUCAUAUCUUAUAACAUUCGAUGACCUAUUAUGUUGAAUCCUGCCAUACUGGAGUUUCUGACCUCUGAGGUGUAACCAAAUGUACAGUAACAGAAGUAACCCAAUUGAUGUAUGCCAGCUUCUCUCAUAACUCUCAGUAGAAGCAACAGCCACGGAGUAGCACCUUUCUUGUAAUCCUAAAUGCGGUAGCUAACUUGUAGCGGAAAUGAACUAGGGAUAUUACCAUAAUUUUGUAACAAAUGCUAUGUAUGUGGGACAAACCCAUUAAAUCUAUUGUGAAGGUUACAGAUCACAGAAGAAAGAACAACAUUUGUAAACCUAUGUGAUUGAACAAAUGUAUCUAUCUACUAUCUAUAAUGACAUCAAGCUAUUUAUUUUUGCCUUUUAUAUCUUGGUGCAAUGUUCUUUGUAUCAGUAUUGGUCUUCACAGUAGCAUAUGGUGAUGGGCAAUGCUCGUCUAGGAAACCAUAAUUAGUUGGACAAAAACCUUCAUUAUAGUCACGGUCCACAUUCGGAAGUCUGUCACAAUUGGUAGGAACCCAGCCGAUCCGAUGCUUAUCAUUGUCAUAUAUCACCAGUUUAUCUUGUAAAAAAAUGUCUCCAAUUAUGUUGAUGUUUCCCAAUCCUACUUCACUACCAUUUAGAAUCCCCAAGCACACAUUUCCAUUUUUCGUGAUAAUAAGAUAAUCUUCAGGUGGUAAUUGCAGCUGAACAUUCUUAGAUUUUGUAAAGCUUAGUGCUAAGGGCGUGAAGUAGCUCUUGACAUCACUAACAGAUUUGAAGGGUUUUGCACCUUUCCAGCAGAUUGAGAGGGCCUUCUCCUCUGGUGCAUCUUUUAAUGGCUUUCCAGAUAGAUCUUUCCUAAUCAAAUUAAGUGUGCUUUGGUAAAUUUGGGCACUGAAGUAAGUAUAAGAGCUCCCACUGUCAAAAAUCAAUUCUAGUCCCUUUAUGCCAGUGGACUUUCCACCAAAAAGAAGUUCUGCUGGUCCUGAUGUGUAGUGUUUGUCCAAUGAACUGCGGGUCAUUGGUGUCCAACUGAUUCCCGAAGAAGGGACAAGAUGAUCUCCAAAAAAUAAAAAUCCUCCCCCCAGCCUACUCAAACAGUGUCCUAUCACAUUCUUUAUUACACCCAGGUCCUGCAGUUGUGAAACAAAGCUUGUUUUGCCAUUGCCAAGGCCAAGGACCCCUGAUGUGGGAGGUGGUGGGAGUGAGCCUGGAUUCUUUUGAUCAUAUCCACACCCAAAGGCCAUUAGAGGUCUGAGGAGAGAGCCAUUCAUUAAUCUUAGGGGAAAGUAGUCUAAGACCAGCACCCCAAGAGAUGAACCAUCAUCAGCAUACUGGACCUCAUAAUCACAUUGAUCAUUAGAAGACUCACACUGAAACUUUCCUCCUGAGUGGAUGGCGCUGCAUAAGGGGUCAGCACAAGGCACUACAUUGUUUUUUGGCUUGUAAAGGCGAUCAAGAGGCUGUGUACAACCAGUGCAAGGUGCAUCACAUUGGACCCAAGUAAGGUCACUGCCAGUAUCAAUAUCUAAUUCGAAAAGCUUGGGGGGAUUGCCUAUAUUGAGGGACACAGAAUAGUACCCAAGAGGAUAAACAUUUCCAGCAACAGGAAGAAGAAGAGAGGAGCCAAAACUAGUAGGCUGGGUUGACUUUUUCUUGCUGGGUUUGGGUGUUUGACUAGCAGCAGAGAAAGAGCCCUGGAAAUUUGCAACCAAUACAAUAAAGAAGAAAGCCAUCACUGAAGAUGACAGUAGUACCCUUCUUCUUUUGCUUUUCUUUUCCAUCUCUUCGACUCAAUCGAGCUAUUUCCAGAAUGAGUUUCAAGAUUUCAGGUCAGAAGAAAAAAACAGCAGAAAUCUAGAGAAAGCUGAAGGGCAAAGUCUUCUCGGUUCCGCCUGAUAUCGAGUUCUGGCAUUGGCAUACGUGGCG